UACGUAGGGGGCAAGCGUUGUCCGGAUUUAUUGGGCGUAAAGAGCUCGUAGGCGGCUUGUUGCGUCGACCGUGAAAACCCGGGGCUCAACUUCGGGCUUGCGGUCGAUACGGGCGGGCUAGAGUUCGGUAGGGGAGACUGGAAUUCCUGGUGUAGCGGUGAAAUGCGCAGAUAUCAGAAGGAACACCGAUGGCGAAGGCAGGUCACUGGGCCGCAACUGACGCUGAGGAGCGAAAGCAUGGGGAGCGAACAGG
Molecule: ribosomal RNA, 253 nt
Filed under: uncultured bacterium
Lineage: Bacteria
Description: partial 16S ribosomal RNA
Rfam family: Bacterial small subunit ribosomal RNA
Source: RNAcentral